GACGAACGCUGGCGGCGUGCUUAACACAUGCAAGUCGAGCGGUAAGGCCCUUUCGGGGUACGACGAGCGGCGAACGGGUGAGUAACACGUGGGUGACCUGCCCUCAGCUCUGGGAUAAGCCUGGGAAACCGGGUCUAAUACCGGAUAUGACUCCAUGACGCAUGUUGUGGGGUGGAAAGCCUUGUGCGGCUGAGGAUGGGCCCGCGGCCUAUCAGCUUGUUGGUGGGGUGAUGGCCUACCAAGGCGACGACGGGUAGCCGGCCUGAGAGGGCGACCGGCCACACUGGGACUGAGACACGGCCCAGACUCCUACGGGAGGCAGCAGUGGGGAAUCUUGCGCAAUGGGCGAAAGCCUGACGCAGCGACGCCGCGUGAGGGAUGACGGCCUGG
Molecule: ribosomal RNA, 390 nt
Filed under: uncultured bacterium
Lineage: Bacteria
Description: bacterial SSU rRNA
Rfam family: Bacterial small subunit ribosomal RNA
Source: RNAcentral